AUUGAACGCUGGCGGCAUGCCUUACACAUGCAAGUCGAACGGCAGCACGGGUGCUUGCACCUGGUGGCGAGUGGCGAACGGGUGAGUAAUACAUCGGAACGUACCUUAUCGUGGGGGAUAACGCAGCGAAAGCUGUGCUAAUACCGCAUACGCCCUGAGGGGGAAAGCGGGGGAUCGCAAGACCUCGCGCGAUUAGAGCGGCUGAUGCCUGAUUAGCUUGUUGGUGGGGUAAAAGCCCACCAAGGCGACGAUCAGUAGCUGGUCUGAGAGGACGAUCAGCCACACUGGGACUGAGACACGGCCCAGACUCCUACGGGAGGCAGCAGUGGGGAAUUUUGGACAAUAGGGGCAACCCUGAUCCAGCAAUGCCGCGUGAGUGAAGAAGGCCUUCGGGUUGUAAAGCUCUUUUGUCAGGGAAGAAACACCGGCUCUAACACAGUCCGGGAAUGACGGUACCUGAAGAAUAAGCACCGGCUAACUACGUGCCAGCCGCCGCCGUAA
Molecule: ribosomal RNA, 501 nt
Filed under: uncultured bacterium
Lineage: Bacteria
Description: partial 16S ribosomal RNA
Rfam family: Bacterial small subunit ribosomal RNA
Source: RNAcentral